UUCGCAAUGCCCGAAAGGGUGACGAAGCGACGCCGCGUGUGGGAUGAAGGCCCUCGGGUUGUAAACCACUGUCGGGAGUUAAGAAUUGUAGGAAUGCUAAUAGUAUUUCUACUUGACUAAGGCUCCGGAGGAAGCCACGGCUAACUCUGUGCCAGCAGCCGCGGUAAUACAGAGGCGGCAAGCGUUGUUCGGAAUUAUUGGGCGUAAAGAGCAUGUAGGCGGCUAUGUAAGUCGGUUGUGAAAGCCUUCCGCUUAACGGAAGAAUGGCGGUCGAAACUGCAUGGCUUGAGUGCGGGAGGGGGGAGUGGAACUUCUGGUGGAGCGGUGAAAUGCGUAGAUAUCAGAAGGAACGUCGGCGGCGAAAGCGACUCUCUAGACCGUAACUGACGCUGAGUGUGCGAAAGCUAGGGGAGCAAACGGGAUUAGAUACCCCGGUAGUCCUAGCCGUAAACGAUGGGCACUAAGUAGAGGGGUUUU
Molecule: ribosomal RNA, 477 nt
Filed under: anammox bacterium enrichment culture clone EAMX-c5
Lineage: Bacteria
Description: bacterial SSU rRNA
Rfam family: Bacterial small subunit ribosomal RNA
Source: RNAcentral